This 492-nucleotide ribosomal RNA is filed under the name uncultured bacterium. Its description in RNAcentral is "partial 16S ribosomal RNA". It matches the Rfam family "Bacterial small subunit ribosomal RNA", at positions 29 to 507 of the family's 1533-position model. The record is from RNAcentral.
AGUGAACGCUGGCGGUAGGCCUAACACAUGCAAGUCGAACGGCAGCACAGUAAGAGCUUGCUCUUACGGGUGGCGAGUGGCGGACGGGUGAGAAAUACAUCGGAAUCUACUUUUUCGUGGGGGAUAACGUAGGGAAACUUACGCUAAUACCGCAUACGACCUACGGGUGAAAGCAGGGGAUCUUCGGACCUUGCGCGAUUGAAUGAGCCGAUGUCGGAUUAGCUAGUUGGCGGGGUAAAGGCCCACCAAGGCGACGAUCCGUAGCUGGUCUGAGAGGAUGAUCAGCCACACUGGAACUGAGACACGGUCCAGACUCCUACGGGAGGCAGCAGUGGGGAAUAUUGGACAGUGGGCGCAAGCCUGAUCCAGCCAUACCGCGUGGGUGAAGAAGGCCUUCGGGUUGUAAAGCCCUUUUGUUGGGAAAGAAAAGCAGCAGGUUAAUACCCCGCUGUUCUGACGGUACCCAAAGAAUAAGCACCGGCUAACUUCGUG